This 494-nucleotide ribosomal RNA is filed under the name uncultured bacterium. RNAcentral's name for it is "partial 16S ribosomal RNA". It matches the Rfam family "Bacterial small subunit ribosomal RNA", at positions 28 to 507 of the family's 1533-position model. The record is from RNAcentral.
GACGAACGCUGGCGGCGUGCUUAACACAUGCAAGUCGAACGGAAAGGCCUGCUUUUCCUUGUGGAUUGCGGGUACUCGAGUGGCGAACGGGUGAGUAACACGUGAGUGAUCUGCCCCCAACUUGGGUAUAAGCCUGGGAAACUGGGUCUAAUUCUAGAUAGGACUGCAGGGUGGUGUCUGGGGUGGCAAACGUUUUUCUAGUGGUUGGUGAUGAGCUCGCGGACUAUCAGCUUGUUGGUGGGGUAAUGGCCUACCAAGGCGGGGACUGGUAGCCGGAGUGGGAGGGGGGACAGUCACAUUGGGACACGGUCACGACCCAGACGCGUGCGGGAAGCAGGAGUGGGGCAGAUAGCAGAGUAAGCGUGAGGCAGAAGCGGCGAGGGCGUGUGGAGGAUGACGGGAUUCGAGUUGUAUGCUACUUGGGACCGCGAGGAGGCCACCUAAUUGGGAGGGUGGUGACGGUAGUGGUAGAAAAAGCAACGGCUAACUACGUG